Molecule: long non-coding RNA, 2663 nt
Filed under: Rattus norvegicus (Norway rat)
Lineage: Eukaryota; Metazoa; Chordata; Mammalia; Rodentia; Muridae
Description: long non-coding RNA NONRATT008167
Source: RNAcentral
UUGUCCCCUUUGUGAUGCUAGGCUCUUAAAAUGGAGCGGGGGGGGGGGGCUUUAUCUAAUUUAUUAAGAGAGAGAAUACAUCGCUUCAGAAGGUGAAAGCUUUUUGAAGGGGCCAUCCUGAGAGGGGCCACCCAUGCCUUGUUGGAUCCCAGUCCACGCCCCCUGCAUUUCUGUGUGUGUUCUUGUAUACCGGCUUAUUUUGUCUCCGAGAUGAGUCUUUCGUUUUAGGUUGAGUGUUUGGGAAUACCUGUCUGUCCUUUUGCUGGCACGUGUCUUUGCAUCUCUCUUCGGGGCUGGAGUCUGACGGCUGGGUGCUGUCGAAGGCUGACAGCCGGCUGUUCCAGCCUGGAAUGACUACAUUUGCCCACAGUGUGUGUGCACACACACGGUUAUUUAUACUCCCAGUGGAUGGGGACACACAAGACUGUAUAUAUAGUGUGUAUACAUGUAUACAUGUGCGUUUUGUGUAUGUUCCUAGUGUGUGGUGUGUGCACAUGCACCCCCCAGAAUAGGGCUGAGGGUGCCAAAAAUCCUUUAGCACCCUCAGGACCAGACCCUAUCUCUGAAUCUGAUGUCGACCAAGGUAGUGAAGGGCCUCAUGACCCAUCACCCUGGCCCUAGCUGACAUGUUGCUGAGGCAGAAAAACAGCCCUCAAGCCAUCUGUGUAGAAGAAGGAGCCCCCAGAUACUUCAGCUAGCGAGCACGGUGGAGUCCAGAUGUCUUGCUUUUCCCCGUCCUUAGGGAAUGAAUGUGGAUGUGGAAUGAGGUUAUCUAUUAGUAAGUUGGGUUGCACUGAAACUCUGUGUUGUUUAUGGAUGAGUGUGUGUUCUUUAGCUCAGACCAGGGUGGUUUACCUAGAUGGUAUGUAAUUAGGCACCACCACCCUCUCCCAAAAUUCUUGACUGGAAAGGAAAGACCAAGUAUUUUGUUAACGGCAGGCUGUGCUGUAUGUGUCGUGACUCCGAGCCUGAACUAUUUUAUUUAUUUAAGACUAUUUUAAUUUCUCUUUCCUCUUCUCCCCCUCUGCGUGGCUGCAGAGUGUCUCCGUUAGAGUAGACGGAUGGCAGGAAUAGAUUUGUAGUCCCUUCAGGAAGUUAGCAGCCUGGAGCUGGGCGUGGGUUCCCCUCAUCCUCGUUGCCUUCAACAGAAAGUGAAAAGUUUUUCGUUUUGGGUUUUGUUUUUUUACAUAUAGCAAAAGACCAAAUUAGCUGUAUAGUCUUGGAUACAGACAAUAAGAAUUACUCUAGCUCUCCUAGCACAUAGGGCCCCGUGGGGAUUCCAUGUUUAGCACAGUGCCUGGCUCAUAGUAAGCCUGGUGAAUGUUCAAUAUUGAUAUUAGUAGUAUAUCAUAAAACUUGAGAGAUAAAGAGCUGCGCUCACCCCCACCCCCGUUGAUCCCGUUGAUUCAGACAUGAUGGUUACAUAAAAAUCUCAUUGAGUCGAUCAGAUGCUAUAGUAAUUAACUGUUUCAAAUGUUUAAGCUCUGUGCCUACCCUGCUCGAUGGAAUUCUAGUGUUUUCUCCAAUGCACUGAGUAAUUGGAAAAUGUGUCAGUCUUCAGCACUCCAUGAAACAAGGCUGAGUUUAUUACCUUGAACCACCAAUAUGUUCUGGAACAUUCCAGGGGUUUCUUUGAGGAACUUUUCAAGCUCAAAAUUAAAAGUUCUCUCACAAGUUGCACUCCUUGAAUUAGAGUUUAAUUUUUAACUCCGCUAUGACACAGUAAUAGAAUCUUCCAUUUGUUUAAGGGAAAGAGGGAACAACUAAAUUUACAUUCUCCUCUGCUGCCCCCUGCUGGACAGGGUGGCUCCCAGCAGGCUGGUUACCUCUGCCACAUUCCCAUCCUAUCCAAGAUUAAUCCCAUGGCUGGUCCCUAAAAAUUAAAUAGAUCUACCACCACCACCCCCAGAGGAGCCAUAUGAAACCCAACGGCAGGGAUUUUGACCGCUUUCAAAAGUGGACUCCCUGGUCACUUAAAUACCAGUUUGCUGGUAUUUUUUUCUUGUGGCUUUAGCCUCUACCCUGGUAGAACAACUGUGGGCGAGUUGCCAGUGUGGGAUGAAGAGGUUUGCUUUCCAAUUCCUCUCCCUUCUCGGCCGACCAGUGACUUUACAGUUCACGGGAUUAAAGCGUUGCAUUUACCUUUCUCAGAGCUUCCCCAACCCCACACACACACACACACACACACACACACACACCACCCAUGGGACACAUGCUGGUGUGGUGGGUAGUUGCCCGUGGAAGGCAGCAUGGGUAGGAGGUACACAGGGAGCAUCGCGUGAGAGCGGGCCAGGAGUGUGAACACAGGUCUGCAGCACCCACGGGAGCCGGAAUGCAGCAGAUACGGAAAGAAGUUUAUUUGCUUAGAGCCCAGUCCACGUAUUAAAGAAAAUGGCGUAACCACAACGCCAAAGGACAUGGUGACAUCCCUUCCACUGUCGCUCCUGUCACAACCUUGAUGUUAGGUUCCUGGCCGUUCACGUCUGUGUCUUCAGAUGGAUCCUUUUUCUACUGUCACUUCUAGGGUUAAGUCACAGGAUCCUGCAAAUGAAGUGUCACUGUCCCCGAGUUUACUGUACAAGGCAAAGAAAGGACACUACUUUGUUUUCCUGUGUUGUAGAGAAACUAGGGAGAACUUUAUUUUUCAAUAAACUUUUCUCGUG